UCGGGAAUUUUGGGCAAUGGGCGAAAGCCUGACCCAGCAACGCCGCGUGAAGGAUGAAGUAUUUCGGUAUGUAAACUUCGAAAGAAUAGGAAGAAUAAAUGACGGUACUAUUUAUAAGGUCCGGCUAACUACGUGCCAGCAGCCGCGGUAAUACGUAGGGACCAAGCGUUGUUCGGAUUUACUGGGCGUAAAGGGCGCGUAGGCGGCAAUUCAAGUCAUCUGUGAAAUCUCCGGGCUUAACUCGGAACGGUCAGAUGAUACUGCUUUGCUAGAGUGCAGAAGGGGCAAUCGGAAUUCUUGGUGUAGCGGUGAAAUGCGUAGAUAUCAAGAGGAACACCUGAGGUGAAGGCGACCACCUGGACUGAUACUGACACUGAGGUGCGAAAGCGUGGGGAGCAAACAGGAUUAGAUACCCUCGUAGUCCCUGAGCGGGCUGGCAAGGCGCAU
RNAcentral lists this ribosomal RNA (447 nucleotides) under uncultured bacterium. Its description in RNAcentral is "bacterial SSU rRNA". It matches the Rfam family "Bacterial small subunit ribosomal RNA", at positions 355 to 825 of the family's 1533-position model. The record is from RNAcentral.